AUACUUAACUGGAAGAGGUGAAUCAGGAAAGUGUAAGGCUUAUCCAUUGUUCUCUGGAUGGGCUGACCCUGUGAUUUCCCCAAAUAAAGGUAACUUGACUGUACAAUUUGUGGUAGUGGGGGACUGGAUUCAUGCUUUUCUCUG
This 144-nucleotide small nuclear RNA is filed under the name Phascolarctos cinereus (koala). Its description in RNAcentral is "U1 spliceosomal RNA (ENSPCIG00000021111.2)". It matches the Rfam family "U1 spliceosomal RNA". From Rfam's summary of the family: U1 is a small nuclear RNA (snRNA) component of the spliceosome (involved in pre-mRNA splicing). Its 5' end forms complementary base pairs with the 5' splice junction, thus defining the 5' donor site of an intron. There are significant differences in sequence and secondary structure between metazoan and yeast U1 snRNAs, the latter being much longer (568 nucleotides as compared to 164 nucleotides in human). Lineage: Eukaryota; Metazoa; Chordata; Mammalia; Diprotodontia; Phascolarctidae. The record is from RNAcentral.